RNAcentral lists this ribosomal RNA (305 nucleotides) under uncultured bacterium. Its description in RNAcentral is "bacterial SSU rRNA". It matches the Rfam family "Bacterial small subunit ribosomal RNA", at positions 333 to 655 of the family's 1533-position model. The record is from RNAcentral.
CUGGUCCUACGGGGCGCAGCAGUAGGGAAUAUUGCUCAAUGGGGGAAACCCUGAAGCAGCAACGCCGCGCGGAGGAUGAAGGUUUUCGGAUUGUAAACUCCUUUUGUUAGAGAAGAUAAUGACGGUAUCUAACAAAUAAGCACCGGCUAACUCCGUGCCAGCAGCCGCGGUAAUACGGAGGGUGCAAGCGUUACUCGGAAUCACUGGGCGUAAAGAGCGCGUAGGCGGGAGAGCAAGUCAGAUGUGAAAUCCUAUGGCUUAACCAUAGAACUGCAUUUGAAACUGUUAUUCUAGAGUAUGGGAGG